UACAGAGGGGGCAAGCGUUAUUCGGAAUUAUUGGGCGUAAAGGGCGCGUAGGCGGCAUGGCAAGUGGAUGGUGAAAUCCCUCGGCUUAACCGAGGAACUGCCGUCCAAACUGCUUCGCUUGAGACCGGGAGAGGUGAGUGGAAUUCCCAGUGUAGCGGUGAAAUGCGUAGAUAUUGGGAGGAACACCAGUGGCGAAGGCGGCUCACUGGACCGGUACUGACGCUGAUGCGCGAAAGCGUGGGGAGCAAAAGGG
This 253-nucleotide ribosomal RNA is filed under the name uncultured bacterium. Its description in RNAcentral is "partial 16S ribosomal RNA". It matches the Rfam family "Bacterial small subunit ribosomal RNA", at positions 524 to 776 of the family's 1533-position model. The record is from RNAcentral.